GUGUUUGAUUAAAGGAGCGAUGGUUGGCAUCUCCCCUCACAAGGUUGGGAACACCCUUCGGGCUUCCCUGUUAACACAUACAGUUAAAUGUGCAAGCAAGCAAGUGCAAUGCCAGCAUCUAUUUUCU
Molecule: non-coding RNA, 127 nt
Organism: Cucumis melo (muskmelon)
Lineage: Eukaryota; Viridiplantae; Streptophyta; Magnoliopsida; Cucurbitales; Cucurbitaceae
Source: Rfam